This 486-nucleotide ribosomal RNA is filed under the name uncultured bacterium. Its description in RNAcentral is "partial 16S ribosomal RNA". It matches the Rfam family "Bacterial small subunit ribosomal RNA", at positions 30 to 507 of the family's 1533-position model. The record is from RNAcentral.
AUUGAACGCUGGCGGCAUGCCUUACACAUGCAAGUCGAACGGCAGCACGGGUGCUUUCACCUGGUGGCGAGUGGCGAACGGGUGAGUAAUACAUCGGAACAUGUCCUGUAGUGGGGGAUAGCCCGGCGAAAGCCGGAUUAAUACCGCAUACGAUCUACGGAUGAAAGCGGGGGACCUUCGGGCCUCGCGCUAUAGGGUUGGCCGAUGGCUGAUUAGCUAGUUGGUGGGGUAAAGGCCUACCAAGGCGACGAUCAGUAGCUGGUCUGAGAGGACGACCAGCCACACUGGAACUGAGACACGGCCCAGACUCCUACGGGAGGCAGCAGUGGGGAAUUUUGGACAAUGGGCGAAAGCCUGAUCCAGCAAUGCCGCGUGUGUGAAGAAGGCCUUCGGGUUGUAAAGCACUUUUGUCCGGAAAGAAAUACUUGGCCCUAAUACGGUCGGGGGAUGACGGUACCGGAAGAAUAAGCACCGGCUAACUACGUG